Molecule: ribosomal RNA, 230 nt
Filed under: Clostridioides difficile
Lineage: Bacteria; Bacillati; Bacillota; Clostridia; Peptostreptococcales; Peptostreptococcaceae
Description: partial 16S ribosomal RNA
Rfam family: Bacterial small subunit ribosomal RNA
Source: RNAcentral
ACCUGGAGGAAGGUGGGGAUGACGUCAAAUCAUCAUGCCCCUUAUGCUUAGGGCUACACACGUGCUACAAUGGGUAGUACAGAGGGUUGCCAAGCCGUAAGGCGGAGCUAAUCCCUUAAAGCUACUCUCAGUUCGGAUUGUAGGCUGAAACUCGCCUACAUGAAGCUGGAGUUACUAGUAAUCGCAGAUCAGAAUGCUGCGGUGAAUGCGUUCCCGGGUCUUGUACACAC